Long non-coding RNA from Gymnogyps californianus (California condor), 1130 nucleotides. RefSeq lists it as uncharacterized. The record is from RefSeq and is a predicted model, not a curated record. The transcript is spliced from 4 exons. NCBI's taxonomy places the organism in Eukaryota, Metazoa, Chordata, Aves, Accipitriformes, Cathartidae.
ACUGUUCCUGCUCUGUGGAUCCUGCCUGUCUAUUUGGGACCCUGACCCACAGCAGGCUGGGGCAUGUGACUUUCCUUGGCUGCUUUGCUAACCUUGAGGGAACAUAGGACACAGGAGACGAGAGUGUUCCCGAAUCAUCCCUGCUCCUCAGCUGGAGAUCCUGAGCCAUGUGCCAUCCUUUCCAUGGGACUGGCAUAGAUGGGCUGUGGUUUACUCCUCAGUGCCCAGCAGAGUACAAGUCUCCAGCUAUAAUGGCACUUGCAGGACCAAGAAUAACAUGGAGAACACAAGUGUCUGAGCCGUGUCCUGGAGCAGCAUGAGGGGCAUGGUCCUCCCUGGUGCAACUGCUUCCUAUGCUGGCAGGCAGUUCCUCCCCGGUACAUUAAUGCGCUUGUUAAACCUUUACAAAUUGCGCUUGUUUCACCAAAUGCUGGAAGGCUUGAGGGGAGGUGAGUUGUGGGUGCUGCUUGUAGUGCUGAGCAGCAUCUCCAGCAGCGAGCACACAGGGUGACUGCACUCUUCAGUCAUACUGUCCAGAUCAAUAUAUUGAACUUGAUAGAAGCUGCCUCCUUGGUAGAAGUCUCUUUCAAAUGUAGACAUCCCCAUUUGCAGCUGAAACAAGCUCUUGACAGCUGGAUGGUCUCCCUGGGCUAAUGCCCUGCUUCUGGGUAGCCAGGUCACUGCCAGUGUGGCAGGGCACUGCGCAGCACUUGCUCCCUUUGCAUGUGGCUUUUGGUCUGGAAACUGCUGCAAUGAUGCAGCCCCUCACACGGUCUCAUUGAUUGCUGGUAUCAAAUACACUAGCAACUUGCUCAGAUUUCCUUGAUGGAUUUUUUGUAAUCAAGUCCAUCUCUUCAUCUAUCUUGUUUAAUCAAUUUUAUUGUCCAAUAGGGCAGAGCUGCUUGUGGGCAGGUAUAACUCUGAUAUUGAAGUAGCCUUGGAGCAUGAAUCAAAGGGAAGAAGAGACCCUGGGUGUAAAGAAGCUUCUGUUCAUCCUACUAAGAUCUUAACAUUGUUUGGUAACAAAAUAUUUAAUGCACUUUUAGUUAAAGAAACAUCUCUGUGAAAUUAAAACAAUAAACAGCUGCUGAUGGCUUAAUAGCCUAAGUGUAGCUGGGGCAUUCAAUCAA